UACGUAGGGGGCAAGCGUUGUCCGGAUUUACUGGGCGUAAAGAGCGCGUAGGCGGAAGGUGAAGCGUGGCCUGAAAGCCCCCGGCUCAACCGGGGAAGGCGGCUGCGAACUGGCCUUCUUGAGGGCGAUAGAGGGGGGCGGAAUUCCUGGUGUAGCGGUGAAAUGCGCAGAUAUCAGGAAGAGCACCAAUGGCGAAAGCAGCUUUCUGGGACGGUACUGACGCUGAGACGCGAAAGCGUGGGGAGCGAACAGG
RNAcentral lists this ribosomal RNA (253 nucleotides) under uncultured bacterium. Its description in RNAcentral is "partial 16S ribosomal RNA". It matches the Rfam family "Bacterial small subunit ribosomal RNA", at positions 524 to 776 of the family's 1533-position model. The record is from RNAcentral.